RNAcentral lists this long non-coding RNA (1645 nucleotides) under Macaca fascicularis (crab-eating macaque). Its description in RNAcentral is "lncRNA (ENSMFAG00000058701.1)". The record is from RNAcentral. Lineage: Eukaryota; Metazoa; Chordata; Mammalia; Primates; Cercopithecidae.
AACAUGUUUUUUCUUUAUGCCGAGAAAUGCAUCUCUGUUUUUUUUUUUUUUUUUUUUAACUUUUUUUUAGAGACAGAGUCUUCGUUGCCCAGGCUGGAGUACAGUGGUGCAAUCACAGCUCACUGCAGCCUUGACCACCUGGGCUCAAGCAAUCCUCCCCCCUCAACUUCCUGAGUAGCUGAGACUACAGCCUUGUGUCACCAUGCCCAGCUGAUUUUUUGUAUUUUUUGUAGAGACAGGGUCUCGCUGUGUUAUCCAGACUGGUCUCAAACUCCUAGACUCAAGUAUCUGCUGCCUGGGCCUCCCAAAGUGUUGGAAUUACAGGCAUGAGCCACUGUGGCCGGCUGAGAAAUGUACGUCAGUAUUAUGGAGCAAGAGGACAGAGUCAUGGUGGUUCUGGGAAUAAAUACUAAGAUUUUAAAAUAAACCAGUUUUGAAAUAGACGUCACAGAGGAGACAGGGAAGUGGCUCAACUCCUCCUCCCUAUUGCAGGCGCCUGAUAUAAGAGCUUAGUAAAAGAUGAACUUGGGUAUGUUGCAAGCUGCUGCCUUGGCUUCCUCCAAGCGCUGCAGGGUUUCUGGGACUAAAGGGAGCUCUGUGGAUCUUUCUGGGAAUGUUCUGGGUGCAUGGGGUUGGAUCAGCCUGUUUCAGUUCUCCACAGAUGAAGAGAACUUGCCAGGGCCUGGGCGACCCUCUGUGAUCCAGCCCUGCCCAUCUUGCAGUUACUGCAUGCUUUUCUCCUGUCCUGUCAUGCUCCAGCCUCAAUGGUCUGUUCCCAACAUGCCAUGCUCACAGCCUUUGUACUUGCUGUUCCUUCUGCCUAGAUGGCUUGUCCCUCAGCCCUUCACAAGUCUGAUUCCUUAUCAUUUAGGUCCCAGCUCAACUGAGACCCUAGAGAGGCCUUCCCUGAAGUCCCCACCCUCAACUCUCCAUCAUUGCAGAAAGUUCUAUUGGGUACCACUGCUCUUGACCACAGACAUGCGUUACAUUUUCCUACUUCUGUCCUUUGCUCAUGUUAUUUGCUUUGCCUGGAAUGCUUUACCUGACAUUAAUAGAAAUCCAACUCAUGUAGAAUUUGGCAAUAUGUUAAAAGUCUUAAAAUUAGUUCAGCAAUGCCACUUGUCAGAAUGUAUCCUUAAGGAAAUAACUGUUGAUAUAUGCAAAGAUUUAGCUACAAGGAUGUUCAGCGCAACACUGUUUAUAAUAGCAAAAAUAGAGGCUGUGUGCAGUGGCUCAUGCCUGUAACCUCAACACAUUGGGAGGCUGAGGGAGGUGGAUUGCUUGAGCCCAGCAGUUUGAGAGCAGCCUGGGCAACACAGGGAGACUGGUCUCUGAAAAAAAAAAGAAAAAAGAGGCCAGGUGCGGGCUCACGCCUGUAAUCCCAGGACUCUGGGAGGCCGAGGCGGGGGGAUCACGAGGUCAGGAGAUAGAGACCAUCCUGGCUAACACAGUGAAACCCUGUCUCUACUAAAAAAAUACAAAAUAUUAGCCACGCGUAGUGCCGGGCGCCUGUAGUCCCAGCUACUUGGGAGGCUGAGGAAGGAGAAUGGCGUGAACUUGGUAGGCAGAGCUUUCAGUGAGGUGAGAUCGGGCCACUGCACUCCAGCCUGGGCGACAAAGCGAGACUCCGUCUCAAAAAAAAAAA